UCUAAAAUUAACCUCCAAUUACGAAAUUUUUUAGAGUGCAAGAAAAUCAAUGUCUAGAAAAUUUAUGAGAAAACUUAUGUUGGUGAUCCUGAUGGAGAUGAUUAUGCUCCUCCAUGCCUCUUCACAUCCCAUCAUCAGCAUCCAUUAUCCCCCUAAUGGCCAUCAUUGCCUUCAAAUCACACUUGAAAAAUGUAAAGAAAUACCAAAAAUCAUGGAAUUAGAGGAGUGUAUUAUCUCUAAUUUUUUCCAAUGCAUUUAUAAGAGCCCAAGUACAAUUCCAAUCUUGAAGCUUUAUGCUAUUGCGGUAACCUGCAUCAGGUCUUGUUACCAAUUUCCCAAACGUACUCAUGGCGUCCAAAGUGCAUAUUGUUUAUUAGACUGUUAUCAAAAGCACAUCAAGGAGCUUUGAGAUGUUGUUUGUUUGGGUAAGUAGGGCAACAUCAUAGGUUGUGGAGCGGGAUCGUGGAUUUGGUGUGGACAACUCCUAGCUUUAUUGUUCAUUUUAUUUAUGUUUCUCUUGAGUUAAAUAUGUACAUGUAGAUAUAGUGUUUUAUAAUAUUAGAGUAAUGUAAGAAAUUUUAUUUUUAUCCUAUAAUUAUCGUACAAUGCUGACGUGACAUAUUUGACCAA
Long non-coding RNA from Alnus glutinosa, 630 nucleotides. RefSeq lists it as uncharacterized. Lineage: Eukaryota; Viridiplantae; Streptophyta; Magnoliopsida; Fagales; Betulaceae. The record is from RefSeq and is a predicted model, not a curated record. The transcript has 2 exons.